UACGUAGGUGGCGAGCGUUGUCCGGAUUUACUGGGCGUAAAGGGAGCGUAGGCGGGCUUUUAAGUGAGAUGUGAAAUGCUCGGGCUCAACUUGAGUGCUGCAUUUCAAACUGGAAGUCUAGAGUGCAGGAGAGGAGAAUGGAAUUCCUAGUGUAGCGGUGAAAUGCGUAGAGAUUAGGAAGAACACCAGUGGCGAAGGCGAUUCUCUGGACUGUAACUGACGCUGAGGCUCGAAAGCGUGGGGAGCAAACAGG
Molecule: ribosomal RNA, 253 nt
Filed under: uncultured bacterium
Lineage: Bacteria
Description: partial 16S ribosomal RNA
Rfam family: Bacterial small subunit ribosomal RNA
Source: RNAcentral